RNAcentral lists this long non-coding RNA (240 nucleotides) under Homo sapiens (human). Its description in RNAcentral is "non-protein coding lnc-GOLGA6L9-2:9". Lineage: Eukaryota; Metazoa; Chordata; Mammalia; Primates; Hominidae. The record is from RNAcentral.
AGAUUUGGUACAUCCCCAGAAGUUGUCUUUGGUUCAGAGAACAGUCUUCAGACCUAGAAAGGACUUGAGGAGUCCCAGAGAGGAGCCACAUGGUGUGAACCAUUCGAUUCUCACAACAGAAUGGAUAAGAACAAUUUCAACCAUGAAACCGUGCAGAUGUUCAUAUUUUGAAUAGGGGCUGAAGCAGUGCCUACUCGAUAGAAUCAGUCAUCAUGCAAAUAAAAGCCACCUGAGUCAAAG